AAGCCAACUCACGAUGCAUCUCUCUAUUUUUGAAACCACAAAACCAAUAAAGGAAAAAAAAUCAGAACUUGUAAAAUAAAACCAAAUCAAAACUCAAUUUUUUCUUCUUUCUAAUCUCCAACGCUCCUUAUUCCUCUUUCUCUAUAUCUCGCUUCUCAAACCAACACAAUAGUUUAAUUUGAAGGAAAAAAAACAAAUAUCUCCUAAAUCCAAUAUCCAAAGAGUCCUUACUCAUACAGUCAAAAUGGAUCCCAAAAAAAAACUACAACAAAAAAACCUAAGAUAAAAAAUCACCUACAAAUUGACGAAAUAUGGCGAGGCACAAAGAAGUAAAGAAGAAACAACAUAAAUCAAAGAAGCAGAGAGCGACUCAAACAAACGUGAAAUAACGAUCAAAGCAAGCAUUCAAAAAAACCUCAUCCCAAACAGUCCCCAAAAGCUCGAAAUCAAAAAUCAACAGAGAAAGAAAGAAACUAAAGUCGAAAAUUAGAAGGAAAUGUGACAAACAAAAGAGUUCAAAGGCCAAAAAUGAAAGUAGAAGAAUACCUUUUCAGAUGUUAUUGAUGUGGUGAUAAAUCCCUAGGUAAAGUUCUUCCUCUCUGCCCUCUUUGAUUUCUACUUUUCUUUUAUCUCCUUUUGAUUGUUAGUUACGAUUGUUGUUGUUGCUAGAUGAUGUUAAUCCAUGAAUUCAUGACCCUUUUUUUAGUGAAAUCUUAUAUUUUUGUUCUCUUUUUACUAUCAGUAUGUUUAUGGAUGGUGUAUUUUCUUUGGGUGGCUAGGGUUUUCUUAUCACCUUUUUUUAUAUUUUGAUCUAUCCUCGUCUUAUAGUGUGGAUGUAGGGCUUUGAACUUAUGUUAUUGAUGAAAGUGGAAGGAAUCAAAAUUAUUUUAAUUUUGAUCAAAGUUCUGCUGUAUUGAUGCUUAUGAUAACCUGCAUUUCCACUUUAUUAUGUUUGACUCCUUUGCUUGUGUAUUUCCUACUAAGAACUAAUAUGUUAUUGCCUAUGCACACAAGUUUAACAAGACAAAAACAAAAAAUCUGCUAUGCUCUUAGACAUUAAGAGCCAAGAGGGUCAAGUCAAAUAAAAAUUCAGUAAACUUCAAAAGAGGGACCACACAUAAAGAUUCUUUUUUUUUGUAAUUUUGUUAGAUUUUAUGUAAAACAAAAGUUUUAUUUAUUAUAAAUGUAAAACUUAUUAUGCUUGUAAUUUUUUAUUAUUUCAUGAAUUAUAAAUUAAUGUAAAAGGGAAAAGAAAACCUUUUUUAAAUUUUAAUGUAAACAUAACUUCUACUAAAAAAACCCAAAUAUUUUGAAUUUCUUUAAUCAAAUUAAAUAGAAUAAAAAAUAUAGAUGAAAUUAUUAUGCUUAAUACUAAUUGACUCUAAUUCAAUUCAAAUUAAGCAUUAUUAUUAUUAAUAUCACUCAACACAAUGAAAAUAAAAUAAAAACAUAAACAUGUAAGUCAAAAAGGCUCUCUUGCUAGGACUUAGUAAAUAAAACAAAACAAGACAAGACAAAACCAAUUAGCACUUACUUUGAAAUAUAAU
This 1547-nucleotide long non-coding RNA is filed under the name Lathyrus oleraceus (garden pea). RNAcentral describes it as "Pisum sativum (pea) long non-coding RNA (PSAT_LNC011658)". The record is from RNAcentral. Lineage: Eukaryota; Viridiplantae; Streptophyta; Magnoliopsida; Fabales; Fabaceae.